CCUACGGGAGGCAGCAGUGGGGAAUAUUGCACAAUGGGGGAAACCCUGAUGCAGCGACGCCGCGUGAGUGAAGAAGUAUUUCGGUAUGUAAAGCUCUAUCAGCAGGGAAGAAAAUGACGGUACCUGACUAAGAAGCCCCGGCUAACUACGUGCCAGCAGCCGCGGUAAUACGUAGGGGGCAAGCGUUAUCCGGAUUUACUGGGUGUAAGGGGAGCGUAGACGGCAGAGCAAGUCUGAAGUGAAAGCCCGCGGACCAACUGCGGGACUGCUUUGGAAACUGCCCGGCUAGAGUGCUGGAGAGGUAAGCGGAAUUCCUAGUGUAGCGGUGAAAUGCGUAGAUAUUAGGAGGAACACCAGUGGCGAAGGCGGCUUACUGGACAGUAACUGACGUUGAGGCUCGAAAGCGUGGGGAGCAAACAGGAUUAGAUACCCCUGUAGUC
This 440-nucleotide ribosomal RNA is filed under the name uncultured bacterium. Its description in RNAcentral is "partial 16S ribosomal RNA". It matches the Rfam family "Bacterial small subunit ribosomal RNA", at positions 338 to 795 of the family's 1533-position model. The record is from RNAcentral.